GUGCACGGUGUCAACAAUCAUUGAAGCGUAGGGAUUACUUCGCGGGUUGCCAGAGGACCCCUGCCUUGAAUGCAGUCUCGGGAGCGACUCUCCAGCUCCUUCCAUCAAACAGUGGAGUCUUUUUGGCCUACCCCCUGGAUCUGGGCUGGCCUUCUGACUUGCUCUGACUUGGAGGAAGUAGCAGACGUGAUUCUGUGUGGUUUCCAAGCUGCCACUUAAAGAGGUCUCGGAGCUGCCACUCUCACUCUCCUGGGACUCCACAGCUUGAAGCAAGCCUGAGACAGCCUCUCUGAGAGAGAGACAGACAGAGAGAAAGAGAGAGAGAGCCUAUAACAUCAGAGGUCCAGCCAUCCCAAGAGACGUGAGGCCGACAAAGACCAGCUGGCCUCACAGCCAGCUCUACCAACCGACGCACUGCAAGGGCAUGAGAAAGCCCAGCGAUGCCACACGCAGCAGAGGUGCGCUGGCCCGUCUGAGCCCUGCCCAGAGCGCCAGCCCAUAGGGCUGUGGGAAAUAGUUCGUCUUGUCAGCCAUUCAAUUUGGGGGUGUCAUGGUAGACAGAAUUCUAAAUAUGGCCCCCCAAGACUCUCAGUCCCAUGUUGUUCAAUCAAAUAUUAAUACAGUUACUGCUGUGAAGGGAUUUUUCAAAUAUAAUUAAAGCUUCCAAGUCAGUUGCCCUUGUAA
Molecule: non-coding RNA, 684 nt
Organism: Vicugna pacos (alpaca)
Lineage: Eukaryota; Metazoa; Chordata; Mammalia; Artiodactyla; Camelidae
Source: RefSeq, a predicted model, not a curated record